CUACAGCGGACGGUCUACUCCGGAUCUCUACUGUAAGCAAAUUCCAUUCGAACCUCUACUGUAAACACAUCUCUUUCAAACUUCCAUUACAGGUAGACUUCAGCCGAGCUUCUUCGUAGCUGGAUCCCAAACGAGCUUCUACAGCAGUACAGGACCCACCGGCCAGAUCGCUACGUCGAGCUCCCACGACAACCGAUCUUCGAUCGAGCUUCUACAAUAAGUGGUCUCCUUUCAGCCUUCUGCAAGAAUCAGACCUCGAUCGAACUUCCAUAGCGGAUGGAUAUCGGAUGAGCUUCUAUGAUGGACGAACUCCGACAGCUGGAUUCUUACAACGAUCGAUCACCUCC
RNAcentral lists this long non-coding RNA (347 nucleotides) under Elaeis guineensis (African oil palm). RNAcentral's name for it is "long non-coding RNA (EGUI_LNC064901)". Lineage: Eukaryota; Viridiplantae; Streptophyta; Magnoliopsida; Arecales; Arecaceae. The record is from RNAcentral.